CCUACGGGUGGCAGCAGUGAGGAAUAUUGGUCAAUGGACGAGAGUCUGAACCAGCCAAGUAGCGUGAAGGAUGACUGCCCUAUGGGUUGUAAACUUCUUUUAUAUGGGAAUAAAAUGUUGCACGUGUGGGAUUUUGUAUGUACCAUAUGAAUAAGGAUCGGCUAACUCCGUGCCAGCAGCCGCGGUAAUACGGAGGAUCCGAGCGUUAUCCGGAUUUAUUGGGUUUAAAGGGAGCGUAGGUGGAUUGUUAAGUCAGUUGUGAAAGUUUGCGGCUCAACCGUAAAAUUGCAGUUGAAACUGGCAGUCUUGAGUACAGUAGAGGUGGGCGGAAUGCGUGGUGUAGCGGUGAAAUGCUUAGAUAUCACGAAGAACUCCGAUUGCGAAGGCAGUUCACUGGACUGCAACUGACACUGAGGCUCGAAAGUGUGGGUAUCAAACAGGAUUAGAUACCCUGGUAGUC
This 460-nucleotide ribosomal RNA is filed under the name uncultured bacterium. RNAcentral's name for it is "partial 16S ribosomal RNA". It matches the Rfam family "Bacterial small subunit ribosomal RNA", at positions 338 to 795 of the family's 1533-position model. The record is from RNAcentral.